UCAGGCCCGUGGAGUGUUGCUUCCCCUUUUCAAGGCUAAUUGAGAAGGUCUGACUCAAAUCUGGGUUCCAAUUCACAUGGUCCCAUGAGCACCAGGCUACCCUGCCCUACUCUGAAUCCCUGUCUCCAGGCCCCUUCUUUGCUGUGACUGCACCUGUGAAGCAGGACUCUGCUGACUCCUAUCCUUAUCUAGCACCUGUGACUUUGGCCUGUCUGUUGGCACCUGUGCCAUCAGUAGCCAAGGAUGAUGAAUGUUGCUUGGGUCUCUACUCCUCUGGCUUCCUCCAAACCAGUGGAUCUGUGGAGAGAUGGCAAUGUGGCUGAUGACCACACCUACAGCACUUGCUCCCUUCUGGACAGUCAUUCUCCUGAGAGAGGCUAAGGAUGGAGGUUAAAAACGCUCACAAGUAGACUUGGCCGGUCAGCCUCUCAUUCAAAGCCCUAAGGAGCUCACUUUGGAGAGACUCAAACGUGGACUGAGAAAUUGCAUAUGGCUGCCAGGUUGGAAGAAACAGAGUUUUCUUUCAAGGCUCGACUUCCUCACCUGACAGCAUGUGGCCUUUUAUGCACCUCAAAGACAGAGUCCCAGGCCCAUCAUGCGGGCAGUUUUGCAGGCUAGUUAUCUGAAGAAGCUGAAGCAAUUCUGAGAUCAUAAACUCAAGACCUGGCUUGGUGAAGGCCUCCGGGGAAUCCAUGCCCCGCUUGUAGGAUGAAUCCUGGGAAAUACCUUUCAUCUUGGCCUCCAAC
Molecule: long non-coding RNA, 746 nt
Filed under: Mus spicilegus (steppe mouse)
Lineage: Eukaryota; Metazoa; Chordata; Mammalia; Rodentia; Muridae
Description: lncRNA (ENSMSIG00000011402.1)
Source: RNAcentral